GCCUGGGUGGCUCAGUCGGUUGAGCGUCCGACUUUGGCUCAGGUCAUGAUCUCACAGUCUGUGGGUUCGAGCCCCAUGUCGGGCU
This 85-nucleotide transfer RNA is filed under the name Felis catus (domestic cat). It matches the Rfam family "tRNA". Rfam says of the family: Transfer RNA (tRNA) molecules are approximately 80 nucleotides in length. Their secondary structure includes four short double-helical elements and three loops (D, anti-codon, and T loops). The record is from Rfam by way of RNAcentral. RNAcentral also lists the same sequence under 1 other name. Lineage: Eukaryota; Metazoa; Chordata; Mammalia; Carnivora; Felidae.